AAGUCACGACAACGGACGCCGUUCCACUACCCGCAACAGACUCCACGUGGCACGUCCCGGUGGUGGCCACGAUCCCACUCCACUACUCUUCGCAACAAACUCUGCCUGACUCUGGGCAGCCCACUGCCAGACGGUUACAGAUAUCGCUAUCAGUCUGCUGCCCCCUUUCGCCUAUAAAAGGGGGCCCCAGAUACGUUAUUCUCUAAGCUCUAUUUUCUAUCCC
Molecule: long non-coding RNA, 223 nt
Filed under: Elaeis guineensis (African oil palm)
Lineage: Eukaryota; Viridiplantae; Streptophyta; Magnoliopsida; Arecales; Arecaceae
Description: long non-coding RNA (EGUI_LNC014708)
Source: RNAcentral